This 793-nucleotide long non-coding RNA is filed under the name Homo sapiens (human). RNAcentral describes it as "STARD13 antisense RNA". Lineage: Eukaryota; Metazoa; Chordata; Mammalia; Primates; Hominidae. The record is from RNAcentral.
GGAGACUCUAAGACUUCUGAAGAGUUUCUUGCUUCUUUCCUGUGGGGCAGUGACUCCACUUCCCAGCAGUAAUGGAAUAUCCUGAAUUAGCUACAUUAAUGUUAGAACCAUUUGGACCUCACCCAGGACUUCAACUACAUUAUGGUUAAGACAGAGAAUCUGAAGACUGCAUACCUGACCUCUCGUUUUUACCUACCCACCCACCCACACCCAAAUAUUUCUACUGGACUAUAAUUUAUUGUGACGCCCCCAUUUCCACUGCAGGAUGUUAUAAGAAAUGAGACUCACUACUGAAUUCACAGCAGGCAUGGUUGAAGGCACCAUUCACUAUAGCUUGCAGUGUUCCCUUUAUGAGAUUUGUAUGAGAAAUUCCUCUCAUAGGUCAAGUUCUUGGGAGAAAAUUCUCCCAAAGAGCAAGUCCCAGGAAAAUCUUGGCUGCUAAAGUUACAGAACCCAAAUUUGGCAACUGUCUGCAUCUGAACAACAGAAGUUUCAACAUUCUGCCAACAGAGUAACUCCUGGACGAUUGGCACAGAAGAAGGCACAAGGCAAAUACCCAUCUCUGUACACCCUGUGCUACUGUGUCAUGUGCUGCUCCAGGCAACUCCAAUGGAUUGGCCACCCUGGCCAAUGUGCCCUCCAAACACCAGCACUGAGUAGAAAGAGGCUCUGAUUCAUGAAAUGUGAAUUUAUGACAGUUGCCACUCUUAAAAAAAAAAACAAACAGACAGAACUUGAGCAAUACAUGACUGAUGCAUUCUCAGCCUGCUUCCUGUGUUCCAUCUGUCUUUCU